GGGCUUUGGCAGGACACAUGCUAACAUUGGAAUGGUUCAGUGAAGAUUAGCAUGGCCCCUGUGCAAGGAUGACGUGCAAAUCCCCACUGUAUUUUAUAUUUGU
Molecule: small nuclear RNA, 103 nt
Organism: Eptesicus fuscus (big brown bat)
Lineage: Eukaryota; Metazoa; Chordata; Mammalia; Chiroptera; Vespertilionidae
Source: RefSeq, a predicted model, not a curated record